AGAGUUUGAUCAUGGCUCAGAUUGAACGCUGGCGGCAGCUUACACAUGCAGUCGAGCGGUAGCACAAGAGAGCUUGCUCUCUGGGUGACGAGCGGCGGACGGGUGAGUAAUGUCUGGGAAACUGCCUGAUGGAGGGGGAUAACUACUGGAAACGGUAGCUAAUACCGCAUAACGUCGCAAGACCAAAGAGGGGGACCUUCGGGCCUCUUGCCAUCAGAUGUGCCCAGAUGGGAUUAGCUAGUAGGUGGGGUAAUGGCUCACCUAGGCGACGAUCCCUAGCUGGUCUGAGAGGAUGACCAGCCACACUGGAACUGAGACACGGUCCAGACUCCUACGGGAGGCAGCAGUGGGGAAUAUUGCACAAUGGGCGCAAGCCUGAUGCAGCCAUGCCGCGUGUGUGAAGAAGGCCUUCGGGUUGUAAAGCACUUUCAGCGAGGAGGAAGGUGGUGAACUUAAUACGUUCAUCAAUUGACGUUACUCGCAGAAGAAGCACCGGCUAACUCCGUGCCAGCAGCCGCGGUAAUACGGAGGGUGCAAGCGUUAAUCGGAAUUACUGGGCGUAAAGCGCACGCAGGCGGUUUGUUAAGUCAGAUGUGAAAUCCCCGGGCUCAACCUGGGAACUGCAUUUGAAACUGGGAAGCUAGAGUCUCGUAGAGGGGGGUAGAAUUCCAGGUGUAGCGGUGAAAUGCGUAGAGAUCUGGAGGAAUACCGGUGGCGAAGGCGGCCCCCUGGACGAAGACUGACGCUCAGGUGCGAAAGCGUGGGGAGCAAACAGGAUUAGAUACCCUGGUAGUCCACGCUGUAAACGAUGUCGAUUUGGAGGUUGUGCCCUUGAGGCGUGGCUUCCGGAGCUAACGCGUUAAAUCGACCGCCUGGGGAGUACGGCCGCAAGGUUAAAACUCAAAUGAAUUGACGGGGGCCCGCACAAGCGGUGGAGCAUGUGGUUUAAUUCGAUGCAACGCGAAGAACCUUACCUACUCUUGACAUCCAGAGAACUUUCCAGAGAUGGAUUGGUGCCUUCGGGAACUCUGAGACAGGUGCUGCAUGGCUGUCGUCAGCUCGUGUUGUGAAAUGUUGGGUUAAGUCCCGCAACGAGCGCAACCCUUAUCCUUUGUUGCCAGCGGUUCGGCCGGGAACUCAAAGGAGACUGCCAGUGAUAAACUGGAGGAAGGUGGGGAUGACGUCAAGUCAUCAUGGCCCCUACGAGUAGGGGCUACCCCACGUGCUACAAUGGCAUAUACAAAGAGAAGCGACCCUCGCGAGAGCAAGCGGACCUCCAUAAAAGUAUGUCGUAGUCCGGAUUGGGAGUCUGCAACUCGACUCCAUGAAGUCGGAAUCGCUAGUAAUCGUAGAUCAGAAUGCUACGGUGAAUACGUUCCCGGGCCUUGUACACACCGCCCGUCACACCAUGGGAGUGGGUUGCAAAAGAAGUAGGUAGCUUAACCUUCGGGAGGGCGCUUACCACUUUGUGAUUCAUGACUGGGGUGAAGUCGUAACAAGGUAAC
This 1505-nucleotide ribosomal RNA is filed under the name Serratia marcescens. RNAcentral describes it as "bacterial SSU rRNA". It matches the Rfam family "Bacterial small subunit ribosomal RNA". Lineage: Bacteria; Pseudomonadati; Pseudomonadota; Gammaproteobacteria; Enterobacterales; Yersiniaceae. The record is from RNAcentral.